UACGUAGGGUGCAAGCGUUGUCCGGAAUUAUUGGGCGUAAAGAGCUCGUAGGCGGCUUGUUGCGUCGACCGUGAAACCCGUGGCUCAACUGCGGGCUUGCGGUCGAUACGGGCGGGCUAGAGUUCGGUAGGGGAGACUGGAAUUCCUGGUGUAGCGGUGAAAUGCGCAGAUAUCAGGAGGAACACCGGUGGCGAAGGCGGGUCUCUGGGCCGAUACUGACGCUGAGGAGCGAAAGCGUGGGGAGCGAACAGG
RNAcentral lists this ribosomal RNA (252 nucleotides) under uncultured bacterium. Its description in RNAcentral is "partial 16S ribosomal RNA". It matches the Rfam family "Bacterial small subunit ribosomal RNA", at positions 524 to 776 of the family's 1533-position model. The record is from RNAcentral.